Molecule: ribosomal RNA, 406 nt
Filed under: uncultured bacterium
Lineage: Bacteria
Description: partial 16S ribosomal RNA
Rfam family: Bacterial small subunit ribosomal RNA
Source: RNAcentral
AUUGAACGCUGGCGGCAGGCUUAACACAUGCAAGUCGAACGAGUGGCGGACGGGUGAGUAAUGUCUGGGAAACUGCCUGAUGGAGGGGGAUAACUACUGGAAACGGUAGCUAAUACCGCAUACCAUCGGAUGUGCCCAGAGGGGAUUAGCUAGUAGGUGGGGUAAAGGCUCACCUAGGCGACGAUCCCUAGCUGGUCUGAGAGGCUGACCGGCCACACUUGAACUGAAACACGGUCCAGACUCCUACGGGAGGCAGCAGUGGGGAAUAUUGCACAAGGGGCGCAAGCCUGAUGCAGCCAUGCCGCGUGUAUGAAGAAGGCCUUCGGGUUGUAAAGUACUUUCAGCGGGGAGGCGUUACCCGCAGAAGAAGCACCGGCUAACUCCGUGCCAGCAGCCGCGGUAAUUC